Non-coding RNA from Sus scrofa (pig), 4620 nucleotides. The record is from RefSeq and is a predicted model, not a curated record. Lineage: Eukaryota; Metazoa; Chordata; Mammalia; Artiodactyla; Suidae.
GGGCCCAGCGCUUCCGCCCACGCCAGCGGCUGAGGGCCCUGCGCAGCCUUAUCGCACUCGAGCGCUGGUCUAAAGGGCCCGGUGUGAGGCCUCUGCAUGUGGAACCCUGUGAGCAAGUGGCACUCCAUCUGGCUACACAUUCGUUCAGCCGGAAGAAGUGGCCUACAAGCAGCUGCCCCUGUUUUCUCCUUCCGGCUACAAGGUGAACGUCACAGCCUGGUCAAGUGGACACACGAAAGUAACCAUGCCAGCUGUCAUAGCCGACGUGAGAGAAAGUGUAAGACUUCUCCCCAUGUGUGAGACUUGAUGGAGCAAAUGCUAAACAAGUGUUAGCUGUUGGUAUUGUGAGCUGGACCCCUGUGGGGAUUUCCAUGGUGGAAGUUGCGUGGGAACAGUUGGCGUGAGACUCCUGGAGCCAGGCCUUGGGGACCCAGAUCAUGCAGCCACUAUGACCAGCAACUAUGGAGAAAGAAACACAGACAAUGAUAAGACCUUGGAAAUGCCUCUGAAGUCAGGAUACAGAAGGCCAUGGAAGCCCAGGGCUGCUUGUCUAGAAAUAGGUCAAAAAGGCAUUGGGAUGGAAUUUCUCACCAGAAACUCCCCAAGAACAGCCAGGCUUAUGGUCUCCUUCAGAGACUGAUAACGCUCAUGGCUGAUAGGAUGGCCAAGGUCCCUGCAGAAAGCCCGAGGGAGGGAGGUUGGAGAUGCGAGCAUCCGGCUGAGUGUCCCUGGCUGCUUCAUGGCGCUGCAGGAAGGCGGCCAGGAAACCUGGACCGACCCAGAGAGGAGACUCUGAUGUACACAGGGCAGAUCUCCCGACCCAGGCACCUCGUGUUCCUUCGAGUCACCCAGCCUUAAUCCUGCAGCUCAUCUGGUAGGGCCGCCCGGAGGCCUGACCUUGGAGCCCCAGAGGCAGGGCUGGGGAGAAGAGCUUCCCGAGACCAAGAGUGUGGGCGGCCAGUGGGCAGAUCAGGCCCCAGGAGCAGUGCGCCCAGGCUGGCCUGGAUCAUUCUAGAAGCAAUUCCAGCUCAACCUGCAGACACCAGCCAGAAACUCCCAUUCCUCCCCAAGGGGAAGCCUGGAGCUACCCCAAGGGCAAGUAUGUGCCCAGGGAUGGACCACCUGUCACCCCACUGGGAGGCCAUGCACACUUGUUGGGCACUGGCCGUGGGCAGCCAUUGUGCUGGACUGUCAUAUAUUUCAUCUCCUGUCUUCCUCUUGAGCUUCUGGAGAGGUUGGGGUGGUUGGUCUCAGGAUACAGCCGAAGAGACAACAGAGAGGCAGAGUAACUUGCCCAAGGUCAGCCAGCAAUGGGCAGGUCUCUCUGGCUCUGCAGCCACAUUCUGUCUACAACACCAGAGAGCCAACACCAGGAAUUCAGGAAGCUGCCUCCAGCCUGGCCUCUUGUCUCCUGGAAGCCACUAGACAAGCCACCUCCCCCCGGGGUGGCUCUGGCGGGCCACUCCUCCCUCUGGACACCCACGAGCCUCCCUCCUGAGGCACCAUUAGGAACAGAGGCAGAGCUCAGGGUAUGUGAUGUGGUGCCCAAGUGCCCAGGCAGAGGUGGUGCCUGAGACUGAGGCGGAGGGGCCCUUGCAAACACCUUCUGUGUGCCAGGCAGCAGGGAAACAAGGAACGGGGUAAAGGCAGGGCACCUCAUGGGGCAAACGUGUAGUGACAUCAAACACCCGCUACCUAGUGUGCAUAGCCAGCUCCAGGCAUGCUUAAUAACCCUACACACACAUGUACACACAUGCACACAUACACAUGGGUACACAUACUUAUGUGCCUGCGCGGUGCACAUACAUAUAUGCACAUGUGCGCACACGUGCACUGCACACACAUACAAGUACACGCACAUGAACACACAUAUAUAUGGGUGUGUGUGUACACACAGCACCAACAAUGCAGUAUAUGAUUUUAUGAGUACAAAUAAUUAGAAAUGCAGAGGAGAAGUUCUAUAAGCAACAACAUCAAACUGCAAACAGUGGUUACCUCUGAAUUUUACCCAAAGGGACUUAAGCCUCAUCCCUGUUUGUCCCCCAGGGAGAAUGUAUUCUUGUUUGAUUUGUGCUCCUAAAAACUGAUUUUGAAAAAAGAUCAACUCUGGGAACACAGUUAAAUCACCAUCACUGCAUUUUUCUGGGAAGAACAUCCAGGGUGCUGACCGCUUGUCUGCGGGCACAGCACAGAAGAAACACAGGAGGGGAGGGGACAGACUCUAGUGAGGGAGGAAGCCCAGGGGCCCCACCUCCAAACAGGCCUGGGGUCGUGCACCCCCAUCAGCCUGGCCCCCAGGGCUCAGGAAUUUCCCGGAAGCCUGAGACAUCAUGAGAAAACGCAUCUUCUCACGGCCUUUGGGCAAAGGGAGUUGGUGAUUAUUUAAAGCAAAACAAAAAACCAUGUGUCAUUUACAAAGAAAAGAAAACUCCGCUUCUCCCCCCACCACAAACCUAACUCUGAACCUCCAUUUUCCCAUCUGUAAAAUGGAAGCAUCAGCCUAAAUGAUUUCUAUGGGCAUUUGCACAGCCUGUGAUUUUAAACAUUUUCUCUGCCCCUGUGGAUGCACGCCCUGCUACAUCGGGUUUCCUCUGGCCACGGCUUUCCUGGGGCCUGUGAGCGAGUCAGCCCUCCCCUCGCCCAGCCCCUUGGCCUGUCCUGCUGCCCCACUGACUUCUCAGGUUUGUUCCAGCAACUCUGACAGACGUGUGACAAGAGAACCCACACGGAGCUCCUGUAGCCGCCCUAAAAUAGGUUUGUCUCACCCCCAUGUUCCUCCAAAGCCGUCAUGCUUGGUUUUGCCUGGAACUGUCUGGAAAUGGGGGCGAUGGGCCCUGCACACACCAUCUUCAGCUCUUAGAAGCUGGAGGCUUCGGACGAAGGACAUGCCAUCCUUUCCGCCCUAUGCCAGUGGUCAUACAGACCAAUCAGUACAAUGUAGAAGACCUCACGAGGACAUGAAUGCCAGCAGGUGGGAUUGGUGGGGCCACCUUGAAGACCGGCUGUCAUGCGAGGUAGUAACAUUUCCUCCUCCCUUGCUAAUAAAACCCCCGUUUCAGUCAGAUGAUCCCUCCUUAGCGCCGAGGAGAGAAUCUCAUUGAUCUGAGUUCAUCAGGCAAUCCCGUAUGGCUUAUCUGAAAUUGGUUUAGAAUAUGCAGUGGACCCCAUCCUGGCCAAGGGAACGUGAGGGGCUCUUGAGAAAGCUUCUGCUCUCUGCUACAAGAAAGAAAUGACCGCGUCCUCUCCGGAUGUCAUACGCAGAUUUGUCUGGAGCUUUGGCAACCAUUUUGCAAUCCUGAGGAGAGACGUCACCAUCACCUGAGAUGGCAAAGAGGAAAGACCUAGUUGUGCCUAAAUUAACCAACUUUGGAACUGUCUUAUCUCUGGAUUGCUCAUUAAAUGAAAUGAUAGGUUGCUCACUGCCUUAGCUUCUUCUCGUUGAGCUUUCUAUUAUGGCCCACCAAAAGUACACAAAAGGAACAGACACCUUGCCACACACUGGGAAGUUCAUGCAGGCUUCUGAGAGGAAGUGCCUCUGUGAAUGAGGAGGAGGAGUUCACCAGAUCAGUCGGUGCGAGAAAGCAUUCCAAACAGUGGAAAGGCUCAGCGGUCGUGGCGUCGGGCCUUCCCCUACCAGUCAGGCUAAAGCCAUCAGACUCUAUCCAGAGGGGAGUGGGAGCCGCAGGGAAAGAUGUGGUUUCGCUUUUUGGAAAGACCCCUCUGGAGGCAGUGAGCAGGAGGAAAGCAGGCGAGCUGACUCUGCCUCCUGUUCGGACCCGUCCACACCCGAAGCAUGGCUCCCUGUAGCGGGGUGAGCACCAGGGCUGCACCAAGGCCUCUGGCUGGAUGCAGUAGCCCUCACCUCCCAGACCUCGGAGGAGGGACUUCGCUCCAGGAAGUGGCAAGGUCAAUGACGCCGCUCCCUGCUCUAAAACCAACCUGUGCUUUCUAGUCUCAUGGAGAUUAAAUCCGAAUUCUUCCCCUGGCCUCUCUGGCUCCGUGGUCUGGCCCUGGCCAACUGAUGCUCUGAGCUCCCCUUACCCCACUCUCCUUUUGGCCCCUAUGCCCUCGUCACGCCAGCCCUCUACUGGCCCACAAACAUGCCAGCUCUGUUCUCACCUCCGGGCCUUGGCAGCUGCCAUUCCUUCUGUGGCUUUUCACUUGGCUGCCUGUGGCUCAACCUUUAGGUCACAGCUCAGAUGUCACCUGUGCAGAGGUGUCCACCCGACCACCCAUCCAAAGUAGGACUUCUCAUCCCGGUUCCUACUGCGCCACCCCGCUUAGUGCCCUUUAGCACUUAGCGCUACUUCUAAAGCCCUUGUGUGGUUUUUUCAUUUGCUGCGUAUUGUCUGUCUGCCCCCUUAUCCUGUUUCCUACUUUCUCCCCCAAGUACUGUUGAUCUCAGUACCGUUGGUGGCACAUAGUGGACCCCGAUACACAUUUGUUCGGCUCAUACCCACAUUUUUGCCUGUGGACUAUGAGGCCAUCUAAGCAGAUGAGAAAUCACCCUCAUAGGCACUAAGAGACCCAGUCCAUGUUUCCUUCUCGUUGCUGUUUUGUCUGAAUUGAUCCCUGGCAGAUGGGGGGGUAUUUUUUUUAUUAUAGUUGAUUUAUAAUGUU